Tetrahymena thermophila SB210 is the source of this 117-nucleotide small nucleolar RNA. It matches the Rfam family "Tetrahymena snoRNA TtnuHACA15". Lineage: Eukaryota; Ciliophora; Oligohymenophorea; Hymenostomatida; Tetrahymenidae. The record is from Rfam.
AGCCUGGACUGCAUAAUUCAUUUAUGCAUUCCAUUUUUCAAGUCCAAAAGAAAUCCACUCUUGUUUAGAGAUGAAACUUCUUCAUAGUUUUUUCUUCAGACGGAGAGCGAUACAUUU